UACGAAGGGGGCUAGCGUUGUUCGGAAUUACUGGGCGUAAAGCGCACGUAGGCGGAUCGAUAAGUAAGAGGUGAAAUCCCAGAGCUCAACUCUGGAACUGCCUUUUAAACUGUCGAUCUGGAGCAGAGUAGAGGUGAGUGGAAUUCCGAGUGUAGAGGUGAAAUUCGUAGAUAUUCGGAGGAACACCAGUGGCGAAGGCGGCUCACUGGACUCUUGCUGACGCUGAGGUGCGAAAGCGUGGGGAGCAAACAGG
This 253-nucleotide ribosomal RNA is filed under the name bacterium. RNAcentral describes it as "partial 16S ribosomal RNA". It matches the Rfam family "Bacterial small subunit ribosomal RNA", at positions 524 to 776 of the family's 1533-position model. RNAcentral also lists the same sequence under 1 other name. The record is from RNAcentral.